RNAcentral lists this small nucleolar RNA (105 nucleotides) under Sus scrofa (pig). The record is from RNAcentral. Lineage: Eukaryota; Metazoa; Chordata; Mammalia; Artiodactyla; Suidae.
UUUCAUGUAGACCUACAUCACGGGAAACACUUCAAAGAGUUACCGUGGUUUCCUCUACUCACAGAACUACAUGUUGGGUCUGUAGGAAAGAACUACAAGACAGAG